UACGGGGGGGGCAAGCGUUGUUCGGAAUUACUGGGCGUAAAGGGCGCGUAGGCGGCCUGCUAAGUCGAACGUGAAAUCCCCGGGCUUAACCCGGGAACUGCGUCCGAUACUGGUUGGCUUGAAUUCGGGAGAGGGAUGCGGAAUUCCAGGUGUAGCGGUGAAAUGCGUAGAUAUCUGGAGGAACACCGGUGGCGAAGGCGGCAUCCUGGACCGGCAUUGACGCUGAGGCGCGAAAGCCAGGGGAGCAAACGGG
RNAcentral lists this ribosomal RNA (253 nucleotides) under uncultured bacterium. Its description in RNAcentral is "partial 16S ribosomal RNA". It matches the Rfam family "Bacterial small subunit ribosomal RNA", at positions 524 to 776 of the family's 1533-position model. The record is from RNAcentral.